GAUGAACGCUGGCGGCGUGCCUAAUACAUGCAAGUCGAGCGGACGGACGAGAAGCUUGCUUCUCUGAUGUUAGCGGCGGGCGGGUGAGUAACACGUGGAUAACCUACCUAUAAGACUGGGAUAACUUCGGGAAACCGGAGCUAAUACCGGAUAAUAUUUUGAACCGCAUGGUUCAAAAGUGAAAGACGGUCUUGCUGUCACUUAUAGAUGGAUCCGCGCUGCAUUAGCUAGUUGGUAAGGUAACGGCCUACCAAGGCAACGAUGCGUAACUGGCCUGAGAGGAUGAUCAGUCACACUGGAACUGAGACACGGUCCAGACUCCUACGGGAGGCAGCAGUGGGGAAUAUUGGACAAUGGGCGAAAGCCUGAUCCAGCCAUGCCGCGUGUGUGAAGAAGGUCUUCGGAUUGUAAAGCACUGUAAGUUGGGAGGAAGGGCAGUAAGUUAAUACCUGGCUGUUUUGACGGUACCAACAGAAUAAGCACCGGCUAACUUCGUG
Molecule: ribosomal RNA, 497 nt
Filed under: uncultured bacterium
Lineage: Bacteria
Description: partial 16S ribosomal RNA
Rfam family: Bacterial small subunit ribosomal RNA
Source: RNAcentral